GGCCUGGCUGGGUGGUCUUGCCGCAAGGUAAGCACUGCUGUGGUCGGGUCUUUCCUUCUGGGGAACCAGCGUGCUCUUUACUGAGUGCGUUGGGGAUCCAGGACUUUUACUUUGAAAAAAUUAGAGUGUUUAAAGCAAGCUAACGCUUGAAUACAUUAGCAUGGAAUAAUGAAAUAGGAC
Molecule: ribosomal RNA, 180 nt
Filed under: uncultured Glomeromycotina
Lineage: Eukaryota; Fungi; Glomeromycota
Description: partial small subunit ribosomal RNA
Rfam family: Eukaryotic small subunit ribosomal RNA (bases 90-180)
Source: RNAcentral